Molecule: long non-coding RNA, 275 nt
Filed under: Elaeis guineensis (African oil palm)
Lineage: Eukaryota; Viridiplantae; Streptophyta; Magnoliopsida; Arecales; Arecaceae
Description: long non-coding RNA (EGUI_LNC043159)
Source: RNAcentral
GUGACUCUAGAUAAUAAAAUAUUGACCAAUACUCUAUUUCUUUUAUUAAUUAUUUACACAAAUAUUUUGUUUAUAAUGAAAUAGAAAUCAAAUAUUUGAAUUUUUUAUUUAGUAUUUUCUGUUAUUUAUUUAAAUAAGCUUUUUUGGUCAAAAAUAUAUUAAUAAAAUAUGCAUAAUCCAUGAUCUAGUCAUAAAUUGUGCCAAGGCUUGUGCAAAUUCAUGUGUGAUUUAUAAUUUAUAUUUUUUUAUUUUUUGAUAGUUAAUGCCUUGAAUGA